This 300-nucleotide ribosomal RNA is filed under the name Thraustochytriidae sp. RNAcentral describes it as "SSU rRNA". It matches the Rfam family "Eukaryotic small subunit ribosomal RNA", at positions 1304 to 1610 of the family's 1831-position model. The record is from RNAcentral. Lineage: Eukaryota; Bigyra; Thraustochytrida; Thraustochytriidae.
GAGCGAUUUUUCUGGUUAAUUCCGUUAAAGAACGCGACCACAGCCUACUAAAUAGUACUUGUUAUGGUAACAUAGUAUGAGACUUCUUAGAGUGACAUUUCGGGUUUACCGAAAGGAAGUUUGUGACAAUAACAGGUCUGUGAUGCCCUUAGAUGUUCUGGGCCGCACGCGCGCUACACUGACGACUUCAACAAGUUUUUUUCUUUGAAAAAGUCCUUGGCUGGAAAGUCUGGGUAAUCUUUUAAACGGUCGUCGUGAUGGGGCUAGAUUCUUGCAAUUAUUAAUCUCCAACGAGGAACC